GCAGAUUUCAGGUUUGUGCGUGAAUUUAAUAAAACCGUAAGCCACAAAAAUCUGGAAGGUGGAUUUAGUUUCAUGUUAGAUUCACGCACAAACUCGUAAUCUGUCU
RNAcentral lists this microRNA precursor (106 nucleotides) under Theobroma cacao (cacao). Its description in RNAcentral is "MIR403 microRNA precursor family". It matches the Rfam family "MIR403 microRNA precursor family". Lineage: Eukaryota; Viridiplantae; Streptophyta; Magnoliopsida; Malvales; Malvaceae. The record is from Rfam by way of RNAcentral.